AAAUUGAAGAGUUUGAUCAUGGCUCAGAUUGAACGCUGGCGGCAGGCCUAACACAUGCAAGUCGAACGGUAACAGGAAGCAGCUUGCUGCUUUGCUGACGAGUGGCGGACGGGUGAGUAAUGUCUGGGAAACUGCCUGAUGGAGGGGGAUAACUACUGGAAACGGUGGCUAAUACCGCAUAACGUCGCAAGACCAAAGAGGGGGACCUUCGGGCCUCUUGCCAUCAGAUGUGCCCAGAUGGGAUUAGCUUGUUGGUGAGGUAACGGCUCACCAAGGCGACGAUCCCUAGCUGGUCUGAGAGGAUGACCAGCCACACUGGAACUGAGACACGGUCCAGACUCCUACGGGAGGCAGCAGUGGGGAAUAUUGCACAAUGGGCGCAAGCCUGAUGCAGCCAUGCCGCGUGUAUGAAGAAGGCCUUCGGGUUGUAAAGUACUUUCAGCGGGGAGGAAGGUGUUGUGGUUAAUAACCGCAGCAAUUGACGUUACCCGCAGAAGAAGCACCGGCUAACUCCGUGCCAGCAGCCGCGGUAAUACGGAGGGUGCAAGCGUUAAUCGGAAUUACUGGGCGUAAAGCGCACGCAGGCGGUCUGUCAAGUCGGAUGUGAAAUCCCCGGGCUCAACCUGGGAACUGCAUUCGAAACUGGCAGGCUUGAGUCUUGUAGAGGGGGGUAGAAUUCCAGGUGUAGCGGUGAAAUGCGUAGAGAUCUGGAGGAAUACCGGUGGCGAAGGCGGCCCCCUGGACAAAGACUGACGCUCAGGUGCGAAAGCGUGGGGAGCAAACAGGAUUAGAUACCCUGGUAGUCCACGCCGUAAACGAUGUCUACUUGGAGGUUGUGCCCUUGAGGCGUGGCUUCCGGAGCUAACGCGUUAAGUAGACCGCCUGGGGAGUACGGCCGCAAGGUUAAAACUCAAAUGAAUUGACGGGGGCCCGCACAAGCGGUGGAGCAUGUGGUUUAAUUCGAUGCAACGCGAAGAACCUUACCUGGUCUUGACAUCCACGGAAGUUUUCAGAGAUGAGAAUGUGCCUUCGGGAACC
RNAcentral lists this ribosomal RNA (1038 nucleotides) under Salmonella enterica subsp. enterica serovar Kentucky. Its description in RNAcentral is "bacterial SSU rRNA". It matches the Rfam family "Bacterial small subunit ribosomal RNA", at positions 1 to 1028 of the family's 1533-position model. Lineage: Bacteria; Pseudomonadati; Pseudomonadota; Gammaproteobacteria; Enterobacterales; Enterobacteriaceae. The record is from RNAcentral.